Molecule: unclassified non-coding RNA, 391 nt
Filed under: uncultured fungus
Lineage: Eukaryota; Fungi
Description: sequence contains ITS1
Rfam family: 5.8S ribosomal RNA (bases 1-105)
Source: RNAcentral
UAGCUGCGAUAAGUGGUGUGAAUUGCAGGACACGCCGAGCACUUAAUUUUCGAACGCACAUUGCGGCCUCGAGUCAUUCUCGGGGCCUCGUCUGUCUGAGGGUCGGUAAUUAAAAUCACUCAUGAUAAAGGGUUGCAUCGAGUCAUUGCUUUAAUUAGCAGCGAUUCGUCAGCCGUGUGAUUGCUCUUGAGACAACCGAUUCCUUUCAUGUCUAAGCACUUGAACGGCGGUAGUCGGCACAAAAGUUGAAAGCCGCGAAACCUAGUAAUAUGCUUUAACGUGAACGGGGUUUGACUCAAUUGAGCUACCGAUAAACUAAUUGCAAGUUUCGGCUUGCUAUCUAACUUUUUUUGUCGACCUCAGAUCAGGCGAGAUUACCCGCUUAAUUUAA